RNAcentral lists this ribosomal RNA (253 nucleotides) under uncultured bacterium. Its description in RNAcentral is "partial 16S ribosomal RNA". It matches the Rfam family "Bacterial small subunit ribosomal RNA", at positions 524 to 776 of the family's 1533-position model. The record is from RNAcentral.
UACGUAGGGUGCGAGCGUUAAUCGGAAUUACUGGGCGUAAAGCGUGCGCAGGCGGUUAUAUAAGACCGAUGUGAAAUCCCCGGGCUCAACCUGGGACCUGCAUUUGUGACUGUAUAGCUAGAGUACGGUAGAGGGGGAUGGAAUUCCGCGUGUAGCAGUGAAAUGCGUAGAUAUGCGGAGGAACACCGAUGGCGAAGGCAAUCCCCUGGACCUGUACUGACGCUCAUGCACGAAAGCGUGGGGAGCAAACAGG